AGAAUGAACGUUGGCGGCGUGGAUUAGGCAUGCAAGUCGAGCGGGUAUAGCAAUAUAUCAGCGGCGAAAGGGAGAGUAACGCGUAGCUACGUACCCCGGAGACCGGAAUAGCCAGCCGAAAGGCUGGGUAAUGCCGGAUGAUGCCUCUGGACUAAAGGGUGUGAUUCC
This 168-nucleotide ribosomal RNA is filed under the name uncultured soil bacterium. RNAcentral describes it as "partial 16S ribosomal RNA". It matches the Rfam family "Bacterial small subunit ribosomal RNA", at positions 26 to 216 of the family's 1533-position model. The record is from RNAcentral.